RNAcentral lists this transfer RNA (91 nucleotides) under Auricularia subglabra TFB-10046 SS5. It matches the Rfam family "tRNA". From Rfam's summary of the family: Transfer RNA (tRNA) molecules are approximately 80 nucleotides in length. Their secondary structure includes four short double-helical elements and three loops (D, anti-codon, and T loops). The record is from Rfam by way of RNAcentral. Lineage: Eukaryota; Fungi; Basidiomycota; Agaricomycetes; Auriculariales; Auriculariaceae.
GACGCUAUGGCCGAGUGGUUAAGGCGAUUGACUAGAAAUUCCUGGCAUCAAUUUCCCUUUGGGAGCGUAGGUUCAAGUCCUACUGGCGUCG